This 1250-nucleotide ribosomal RNA is filed under the name uncultured bacterium. Its description in RNAcentral is "partial 16S ribosomal RNA". It matches the Rfam family "Bacterial small subunit ribosomal RNA". The record is from RNAcentral.
AAAGUAUCCGGUCGUCCGGGGCAUGGUUAUAGUUUGUCUGGCUCAGAUUGAACGCUGGCGGCAGGCCUAACACAUGCAAGUCGAGCGGUAACACAGGGAGCUUGCUCCCGGGUGACGAGCGGCGGACGGGUGAGUAAUGUCUGGGAAACUGCCUGAUGGAGGGGGAUAACUACUGGAAACGGUAGCUAAUACCGCAUAACGUCGCAAGACCAAAGAGGGGGACCUUCGGGCCUCUUGCCAUCAGAUGUGCCCAGAUGGGAUUAGCUAGUAGGUGGGGUAACGGCUCACCUAGGCAACGAUCCCUAGCUGGUCUGAGAGGAUGACCAGCCACACUGGAACUGAGACACGGUCCAGACUCCUACGGGAGGCAGCAGUGGGGAAUAUUGCACAAUGGGGCGCAAGCCUGAUGCAGCCAUGCCGCGUGUAUGAAGAAGCCUUCGGGUUGUAAAGUACUUUCAGCGGGGAAGGAGGUGUUGUGUUUAUACCCCGCCAUUGACUUUCCCCCAAAAAACCACGGGCAACUCCUGCCNNUGUAUAUAGUGCCGGACGGCCGGCGGUCUCGUCACGUCGGAUGUGAAAUCCCCGGGCUCAACCUGGGAACUGCAUUCGAAACUGGCAGGCUAGAGUCUUGUAGAGGGUGGUAGAAUUCCAGGUGUAGCGGUGAAAUGCGUAGAGAUCUGGAGGAAUACCGGUGGCGAAGGCGGCCCCCUGGACAAAGACUGACGCUCAGGUGCGAAAGCGUGGGGAGCAAACAGGAUUAGAUACCCUGGUAGUCCACGCCGUAAACGAUGAUUACUAGGUGUGGGGGGACUGACCCCUUCCGUGCCGCAUUAACGAAUAAGUAAUCCACCUGGGGANNAACCCAACCCUGUCCUUAGUGCACGCGGGGCAUCUAAGAGACCGCUCCGACAAGUGGAGGAGGUGGGGAGACGCAAAUCAUCAUGCCCCUAUGUCUUGGCUACACACGUAAUACAAUGUCAUUAACAGAGGGUCGCAAGACCGCGAGGUGGAGCCAAUCCCUAAAAAUGAUCUCAGUUCGGAUUGCAGGCUGCAACCCGCCUGCAUGAAGCUGGAAUUGCUAGUAAUCGCGGAUCAGCAUGCCGCGGUGAAUACGUUCCCGGGCCUUGUACACACCGCCCGUCACACCAUGGGAGUUUGUAACACCCGAAGUCAGCAGCCUAACCUUUCUGGAGGGCGCUGCCGAAGGUGGGAUAAGCGACUGGGGUGAAGUCGUAACAAGGUAACCGUAU